CCAUAAUCAUAUCCAGCCUGAUUAGCAUUUGAAGAUGAAGGUUCUAAGUUUCUCCACAACAAACAAUGGUUACAUUAAUAAUGUGCAAGAAGGAAAAUGGAAUACCAAUCAGAAAUUCAGGUUUUGCAGAAAAAUAUUCGUAGACUGGAAGAACAUUUAAAAAAAGUAAAUAAAGACCUUUAUGCUGCUGAAAUGGCUUAUGAUGACGCCAAAACAAAACUGGAGGAUGUGACUGAAGGCAUUGUUAAAGAAAAAUCACGUUUCAAGAAUUUGGAAGAGAAUAUUAAAAAACAAAUUAGAGAUGAAAUAAGUGCUUGGAGGCUGACUCAGAAAAGAAUUAUAGCAUUACAAGCAGAGUUAGAAAGAAAGAAAAAGGAGCAUAGCAAAUUAGAGGAAAAGAUGAAGAGUAAAUUAAAAAAAUAUGAGCUGCUUUCAGCUGAACAAAUAGAAAUACUGGAAAAAAAUAAAGAUGUGCUCAAAGAACUUCUUGAGGUGUACUUUCAUGGACCACUGAAAGGAAGAAAUGGCUCACAUGCUUUGCCCAAGAGUGUGAUAGGCAACAGGCUUUUAAGGGGCUGCCACAAAGAAGGGGGGCAAUAUAUUUUUCCAAAGAAGCAAACAAGAAGCAAUGGAUGGAAACUGAACAAAGAGAGAAGCAAUCUAAAACUAAGGAGAAACUUCCUGACAGUGAGAACAAUUAACCAGUGGACCUGCUUGUCUCCAGAAGUUCUGGUGCUCAAUCACUGGAAGUUUUUCAGAAAAGACCGGACAGCCAUUUCUCUGAAAUGGUAUAGAUCCCCCAAAGGUCCCUCUAAGUGUUAUUCUGUUAUGCUGAUACUUUCUCAGGACUUCUACUCAAAUUUAUUUCAUAAUUUCACAUAUAAAAUAGCCAUUUGUGUAAUACAACCUGCAUAUUGUUCAAAACAGUAAUUAUUAUGGCUGAUGUUUGACAGCAAGCCUAAAAGUCAAAGAUCACAAGAGUGCUUCUUUCUCUGUAUGUAUACAAAAUGUCACAUACCAGGAAUAGCAUAUUAAGCUGGACUUAUGCAACCUGAUGUACAAAAUAAAAACACGCAUAUUUAU
This is a long non-coding RNA of Naja naja (Indian cobra), 1083 nucleotides long. The record is from Ensembl. Lineage: Eukaryota; Metazoa; Chordata; Lepidosauria; Squamata; Elapidae.